This 174-nucleotide ribosomal RNA is filed under the name Pseudomonas alkylphenolica. RNAcentral describes it as "partial 16S ribosomal RNA". It matches the Rfam family "Bacterial small subunit ribosomal RNA", at positions 1237 to 1410 of the family's 1533-position model. The record is from RNAcentral. Lineage: Bacteria; Pseudomonadati; Pseudomonadota; Gammaproteobacteria; Pseudomonadales; Pseudomonadaceae.
GUACAGAGGGUUGCCAAGCCGCGAGGUGGAGCUAAUCUCACAAAACCGAUCGUAGUCCGGAUCGCAGUCUGCAACUCGACUGCGUGAAGUCGGAAUCGCUAGUAAUCGCGAAUCAGAAUGUCGCGGUGAAUACGUUCCCGGGCCUUGUACACACCGCCCGUCACACCAUGGGAG